AGACCGGUUUAUUGGUCGUGCUUUUGUACGUACUGGUAUUAUUGGUUUCUCCUUUCUGACGAAUCUUAAUGCCAUUAAUUUGGUGUUGCGGGGAAUUUGGACUGUUACUUUGAAAAAAUUAGAGUGUUUAAAGCAAGCUAACGCUUGAAUACAUUAGCAUGGAAUAAUGAAAUAGGACGUUCGAUCCUAUUUUGUUGGUUUCUAGGAUUGACGUA
This 215-nucleotide ribosomal RNA is filed under the name Campeiostachys nutans. RNAcentral describes it as "Elymus nutans partial small subunit ribosomal RNA". The stretch from base 46 to 215 matches the Rfam family "Eukaryotic small subunit ribosomal RNA", at positions 693 to 864 of the family's 1831-position model. The record is from RNAcentral. Lineage: Eukaryota; Viridiplantae; Streptophyta; Magnoliopsida; Poales; Poaceae.